Molecule: ribosomal RNA, 253 nt
Filed under: uncultured bacterium
Lineage: Bacteria
Description: partial 16S ribosomal RNA
Rfam family: Bacterial small subunit ribosomal RNA
Source: RNAcentral
UACAGAGGUCCCAAGCGUUGUUCGGAUUCACUGGGCGUAAAGGGUGCGUAGGUGGUCGGGUAAGUCUGAUGUGAAAUCUCUGGGCUCAACCCAGAAACUGCAUUGGAUACUAUCCGGCUGGAGGAGUGGAGGGGGGACUGGAAUGCUCGGUGUAGCAGUGAAAUGCGUAGAUAUCGAGCGGAACACCAGUGGCGAAGGCGAGUCCCUGGACACUUCCUGACACUGAGGCACGAAAGCUAGGUGAGCAAACAGG